Molecule: ribosomal RNA, 206 nt
Filed under: uncultured bacterium
Lineage: Bacteria
Description: partial 16S ribosomal RNA
Rfam family: Bacterial small subunit ribosomal RNA
Source: RNAcentral
CGCGUAGGCGGCAAGGCAAGUCAGGUGUGAAAGCCCCGAGCUUAACUCGGGAAUUGCAUCUGAAACUGCUGUGCUUGAGUUCUGGAGGGGGUAGUGGAAUUCCCAGUGUAGCGGUGAAAUGCGUAGAUAUUGGGAGGAACACCUGCGGCGAAGGCGGCUACCUGGACAGAAACUGACGCUGAGGCGCGAAAGCUAGGGGAGCAACG